AUUGAACACUGGCGGCAUGCUUUACACAUGCAAGUCGAACGGUAACAGGUCUUCGGAUGCUGACGAGUGGCGAACGGGUGAGUAAUACAUCGGAACGUGCCUAGUAGUGGGGGAUAACUACUCGAAAGAGUAGCUAAUACCGCAUGAGAUCUACGGAUGAAAGCAGGGGACCUUCGGGCCUUGUGCUACUAGAGCGGCUGAUGGCAGAUUAGGUAGUUGGUGGGGUAAAGGCUUACCAAGCCUGCGAUCUGUAGCUGGUCUGAGAGGACGACCAGCCACACUGGGACUGAGACACGGCCCAGACUCCUACGGGAGGCAGCAGUGGGGAAUUUUGGACAAUGGGCGAAAGCCUGAUCCAGCAAUGCCGCGUGCAGGAUGAAGGCCCUCGGGUUGUAAACUGCUUUUGUACGGAACGAAAAGCCUGGGGCUAAUAUCCCCGGGUCAUGACGGUACCGUAAGAAUAAGCACCGGCUAACUACGUG
Molecule: ribosomal RNA, 482 nt
Filed under: uncultured bacterium
Lineage: Bacteria
Description: partial 16S ribosomal RNA
Rfam family: Bacterial small subunit ribosomal RNA
Source: RNAcentral